This 845-nucleotide long non-coding RNA is filed under the name Vitis vinifera (wine grape). Its description in RNAcentral is "long non-coding RNA (VVIN_LNC005816)". The record is from RNAcentral. Lineage: Eukaryota; Viridiplantae; Streptophyta; Magnoliopsida; Vitales; Vitaceae.
GGACAUUCUCCAACUGAUCUUAUUCUCAAGUUGUCUGCAAUUCUUCAUGUCUCGGGUUCUUCUUCCUUCUCUGACAAAGCCUAUUCUCUAGAACUCUUCUCAGCUCAAACAAGUUUCCUCUCUGGAUGUCUUCAGCUUGUUUACUUCUUCAGUCAAAACAACCUCUGUAAAAUAUCUCUUAAAACCCAAUACGUUCCUUUCAACCGUAAUAGAUCUCUGUGAGAGUGUUCAGCUAGACUUGGAUAUACCUUCUCACAGCCGUUGCCUUGAGAAAGAUCCAAAAAAAAUAGGAGCCAUAACAAAGCAGAAUCCACAGAAAACAGAACACAAAAGAAAACGAGUAAAAGUGAUCAUCAGAGGCUUCACUUCAUGAGUUAUCCGUGAGUCCUCUGAUUAGGUGAGAAAAAUAAAAUAUCGAAUGUAGAUAUUGGCAUGAUUCUUGGGCGUUUCACAACAGAGACAAGACAUGCUCAGAUUAACAAUACCAAACAUGAAUGCAAGGUUAUAUCUCAACAAGCAACAAGUGGCCUUCAUUAUCCACUCCAAACAAAUCAACGAAUAUUCAAACAUCAACAAGAGACAUAGAAGAGUGAUAAACAGCCAAAAACCAUCAAUAAGCCUAUAGCAAUCAUACCUGAGGGAGUCUACUUUUUCAACAAAACCAGCAAGACUCCAAGUUUUACUCCAGAAAAAUCAGUCUGCUACCCUGCUUCCGGCCAAGCUUCCUCCUCUAACUCAGAGAACCUCUCUGGAAGCUCUCAACAGCAGCCUAGAAAAUUUUUGGUUCCCUCCUCUUACCCUCGUUUCUCUCUCAAACUAAACGGCCACAAAAAUCCCCCCUCAAC